GAAUUGUCUUUCUAUAUUUUCUUGUAGCUCAGUGAGCUUCCUUAAAACAACUAUUUUGAAUUCUUUGUCAGGUAAAUGACAGGGCUUUAUUUCUUUGGGGUUGGUUACUGGACCCUUAUUAAGGCCCUCCCCUUUCACUGAUCCCCACAAGUCCCUCCCCAGCCUUCCUGGUUCAGCUGAAGGCCUUUGUGCACCCAGUGAAAUGCAGUUAUAGUGAGCCCGCUGGUGCCACCUGGUCCUGCGGAGCAGAAAAUCAGUGGCCUGAGGAGGACUGGGAAUCAGCUGCAGGUGGGAGUAGUGCAAGAAGUACACUGUAUGUGCAAGUAUACCCAGGUAAGGGGACUUGGUCAAGUAGAUGAUGGAGAUGUGCAAACUGCUGUGGCAUUCUCUGCAUGGGAUUCAAAUCAAGAGGGUAUCUGACACCUCCUGGCCUUUAGAAAAAUCAUACCCAAAAUACCUGGUGAGCUUAGAGGAUGGCCUGGAGGUGCCUUGGGGAGAGCAGAGGCCACCCUGGCUGCAGGUCUGUCCCUGGCCUCCAGCUGGGUGAGACCUCAGAGACUGGACUGCUUUUCCUGGGGCACUUUUCCCCUCCCAUGCUCUUCUCCAUCUUUUCUUCCACGUUUGCAGGGGUGGGCGAUAGUUCUUAUAAGGUGCUUAAUUCUUCCAACUCUUGUAAUAAAAUUGAUGCUCCAAAACCUGUAUCACAGAUACACUGUUUUCAUCCUUCCUGCACAGAAUUGGGGCUGUGCAUGCUCCAGCUUGAGAGCAUGUAGUGAUGUAGUACUUGGAGUUAAUCAGAACAACUAAACAGAAAAAUGACUGAAGAGAAUUAUCCUAGUAAUCUCCAAUAGCAAUGAAUGUGGUCCUGAAGGGACAAGGCUGUGAGCCAUAUUGCAGGGCAGAAAGGCAACAACUGUGUACUAACAUUACCACACAUUUUCAGAAGAACCAAGGGAAAUUUCUGAUCCUAUGACCUUUAUUAUCUAAAACCAAGAGGUCCAUAAUAGGAUAACAAAGUCCUGUGAGCCAGCCUGUGUGGGGAGUCAGAGAAGUGGCAUGGGUUUGGGCCCCCAAAGUGGGCUAAGUGUCACUUCCAUGUGCAGCUGAGUUUUCUGACUGUAAUGAAGAGUUGGGCCUGUCCACUGUGAUGAUUGCGCCUUUUACAUCAGUAGCACAGAGCAGUAACUCUAAGAGUCCUGACCGAGGUAUGAGCUGUUCAGCCUGCUCAAGGUUCCAAGGGAGCUCCACGGGAAGCCAGACCUCCUGGGGUUCCAGAGGGAGCAUUCAUGAUAUCUAUCAAGAAGCUUCCUGAGGAACAUCCAGGAGGCCCCUGGCUGCUUCCCAUGAGGCUGAGUUGCACUGCGUGCAGUCUUUCAACAUUCUCAUGAGAUGGCCCAGGGACAGUCCUGGCAUCUGACCAGUCAGAGAAGAUUUUCCUUCACCCACUGAAUGCAGGGCCAGGAGAAUUUCCCACAGAUACUCUGUCCAUGAGGUUUACUCUGUUCUGGGAACUUGGCCAAACUCCACUGGGCUCUCCGAGAUGAAUCAGACAUAGAUCCAACCUGAAGAGCAUGGUCCAGCUGGGAAGACAAGACAGGAAGCUAACUACAGUACAGUCACCUGUUCACAGGUACAGAGGAAGGACAUGCCCAGCACAGCAGACACUCACCUGCUGCUGGCAGCAUCAGGACAGUGUUUUGAAGGAGGUGGCAUCUAGCUGGGCCCCAGUGCAUGGCUCUGACCUCAAGAAAUGGACAGGAGGCAUUCUAAACAGAAGGAAGCUGGAGUGUUAGGCACACACAAGAGAGGUGGGGAGCGAGGCUAGGGAGUGGGGGUAGGACAAGCACACCUUGUUUCAGUGACCGCUUCCCACUAGUGCAUUUUGCUCUGUGUAUCCAAACUUACAUAUCCCCCAGCUCAGGCCUGAAAAGCAGCCAGCUUUGAUAAUACAACACUCUGCUAACAAGACUUUCUCCUUCUCUUCUGUGAGCUUUGGGCCUUAGCUGGCUGGGCCGGUGGCUGCCUCUGGUCUCCUUCAGUAGUCCAAGCUCAGUUCUGCAGGAAGGGCUUUGGGGUUUGUUCUAAGGAGCAGGGGAUCCACUGGAGAGGUUGGGGAGGGAGUGACAUGAUUGACUUCCAUUGGAGAGGAUGUCUCCGGCUGCAUGUGCACAGUGGGCUCUGGGUGGGAGAGUGGAAGUCAGAGCCCCUCCCCCCACCCCCGGAGGAGGAGGUCACUGGUCAUCUGAGAAAGAAGACCUAGUCUGGACCGGAAAUUUGGGGGGGGGCAGGAGGGGGAGAGCAUGGAUGAGCAGAGAAGGGAUGGAGUAGGGAGGGGAGGGGACGGGAGGCAUUAGAAGGUAGCCCCUGCAACUGGUUGAGGAAGUGGCUGCCCAGUGAGAGAGAAAAGGAAGAAUCAAGAGCAAGUUUUUUAUUUUUGACUUGAACUGGGAAGAUAGUGGUACUUUUUACUGAGAUAGAGAAGAAACAAGAUUUGAGGGAGAAAACCAAGAGUCCCCUUUGGAAUCCAGGAAGUCUAACAGCCCUCAUUAGAAAGUUCUAUUUUAUUCCCCCAUGGUGCCAAAACUCCUUCAAAAGUAGGUUUUUAAGCAAUAUAGUAUUUAUUGUAUAGUACAUUCUGAUUGUCUUUACAGUUUUCUUAUUAAUAGGGCAUUUAAGCUGCUUCCAAUUUUCAGUCAUUAUACAUAAUGCUGUAGUAAGCAUUUUGUACAUAAAUCUUUGCCAGCACCUUUGGUUAUUUUCUUCCUCUAAAUUCCCAGAAGUAAAAUUACUAGGUAAAAGGCUAUGAACAUUUCACAUUGUUUUUGCUGAGGAAGAUUAGCCCUGAGCUAACAUCUGUGCCAAUCUUCCUCCGCUUUGUAUGUGGGAUGCCUCCACAGCAUGGCUGACGAGUGAUUUAAGUCCAUGCCUGGGACCCAGCCCCAUGAACCUAGGACACCAAAGCAGAGCUCACUGGAUUUAAACACUAUGCCUCAGGGCUGGCUCCUACAUUUUUAUUUAAUACAUAUUGGCAAAGGAUGCUCCAGAAAAGUGGCACCAUCCAGAGGAUGCACCUAAGAGUGCCGGUCCCACUGCAUCCUCACCACCUUGAUUAGUGCAAGUUUUCUGAAUCCUAGCUGAUUAGAUACGGAAAAUAAUAUACUACUUUCAACUCCAGAUGUAGUACCCAUGGAGGUUCUGGCUGAUGGGGAAUAGAGGAGGAGAAUCUUGCCUAAGUCUUUAAAUCUGGCUUCACUGAAUUGUGGGUGUUUUCUUCCCUGUGACAUUAUCUCAGGGAAUUGAAUGCAGGUGGGUGCCUAUGUUCCUUUCCUCCUGGGGUUUGGAGCCUCCACCUGAGCCCUCCUGCUCCCCUUUGGUACUUCAGUAUUGUUCCCCCACUUCCCUGCCCUGUUGCCUAUGCGAGGCAGAAAUCCUGAGUUAGUAAUCGGGUUCCACCAGUGAUUUGCCAUCAAAUAUAAUAAAAAGCACCCACUGGCCCAUGAUUUUCAGCUUGUUCUUGAAUUAUGAAUUAUUUAAUGCAGCUUAUCUGAUGAACAAUCUCUAAUAAAACAUAAAUUUAGGGUAAGGAGUGGUUGGGUGGUGUGAGGAAAUGUUAAAAGGGGUGUGGCAGAGAGGUCCAGGUGUCUCUCAAUAGCAUUGUCCACUUCUCAGAGCAACCAAACACCUGAAUUUUAGCUGUGCAUGUGGCCACCCGGGACUACAGAGUUCCAAGCCUCCUCUGCAGCUAGGCUAGGUGUGUAACAAAGCUCUCUCUCCAGAAAGGGAAAGGAAACAAUUUGUGAGGAUUCUAGGAUAUUUCUAGGAGAGAGAAGCAGGCCCUUCUUUCUGCUUCCUCUGUCCUGCUGCUGGGAGCAUGAGCUCGGAAGCUGGAGCUCCGUCCUGAUGCACAUUGAUGAGGGCAACUCCUCUGGAAUGACAGGGCAACACGGAGAGGAGGCUCCUGGAGCAGCCCUGCCAGACCAAUGUUAGACCGUUUGCCUCCAGACUGAGUGUAUGAGAGGGGCUAGCUCUGUGCACCGCUCUUCUGUGGGGCCCUUUGUUACAGCAGCUGGACCUUGAUCAGGAUGGCGGUCUUGGAGGGGACUUUCUGUGGGCUUCUGGGACAAGCUGCUCCCGGGGUCACAUCUGUCUGAAAUUUUCAGCCCUGCUUUCCAUGGGGUGUCAGCCAAGCUCCGCUUCCACCCACCCCCUCUCCAGGCACUUCUCUGGAAAUCUAAUGCAUGAAGGUUGAUUCCCGCAAGUAAACAAGUCUGGAGCUGGUGUCUCCCAGGCCCACCCACUUCUCCCAAAGAUGCACCUUGUUCUGAAAUGGGCUGGGCUAUUUCCCUGCUAAUAUCUGCAGAUUCUCAUUAUAUAACUCAGGGAACGGGCUGUCUCAUGUGUAGUAUAACUUGAUUAUUGCUAGAAAGUUGAGUUUGGAACUGACGAGUUCCUUGCUAAACUGACAAAUCUGAAAGCUGAAUUUGAAAAACUAAGCAAUGCCACUUGCAGGAUGAAAGCAGUGACUGGGAAUCGGUGAAAGCUUGUCCCGUGUUCUCAGUUUGGGGAAAGAUAUUUAGGACUUCCCAGGUGUCUGGUCUUGUCCAUGUAAUUUCUGAUAUGCCCUCCACUCUUAUGAAGCUUGCGAUUUUAAGAGGAAAAGGAACUAAUUCUAAUAUAUAUUAAAAAUAUUAAACUGGAAAAUAUUAUGAAAAGACGUAUAGUUCAUUCAUCAUUUGUUCAUUCUUCAAAGUGCCUAAUUGGUGCUUUGUCAUUCAUUACUAUUUUAAAAUAUCAUGUAUUUAUAGUGUAUAUAGUAAGGUCAACAGAUCAGGAGACAAUCACCACCGAAAAGAGAGUUUUUCUCAGAGUCCCCAGAGGAGGGCACACGCUACAUUGGGAAUGGCCACACAGGGAAACACCAGGGUGGUCGGGAGGCAGAGAGGGUUGGGGGGAAUGUGGGCAAGAGUCUUUAUUGAGGUUUCCUCAGGAAUUAAUAGCGAGGCAGGGUAAGCAGGCUUAAGAUUGGUUGGUUUGAAUAAUUUCAGGACUCUGGGGCAUAAGGGCUGUCCCUCAUUUUCCGGUAUGUGGCCCUAGGUGAUUGGGGCAGGUGAAUAGAGGACCAGAGUGUGAGAGUCUGAUAGAAGAAGUGGUUGGGGGUAUAGACACUGGAUUGGUGGGUUUGCAUUUGAAAAGUGCACCCCUUGCAGAAGGAUUCCUCACAAGAUGGGGCUGCAGACAACUGUCUUCUUGCUGUAUUCUCACAUGGUAGGAGAAGAGGGCUCUCACCAGUGCACGGGAGACGCUCUCUGGGGUCUCUUUUAUAAGGGCACUAAUCCCGUUUAUGAGGGCUCCACCCUCAUGACCUAAUUAUGUCCCAAAGAUCCCAUCUCCUAGCACCAUCACAAUGGGGGUUAGGGUUUCAGCAUACUCUGAAUAGGCAAAUCCAUACAGAGAGAAACAAGUCAGACUGGUGGCUUCCCCGGGUUUGGGAGAGUGUGGAAUAGGAAGUUUAGUCAGUGCUGAGUUUCUUCCAGUGCCCUCCCCACCACCCCCAGGUUUUAUUGAGAUUUAAUUGACAUACAACAUUGUGUAAGCGUAAGGUGUACAAUGUGAUGAUUUGAUAGAUGGAUACAUCGUGAAACACUUAUUACAAUAAGCGUAACACAUACUUUGUCUCACAUAAUUACUAUUUUGUUGUUUUUACAGCGAGAAUAUUGAAGCUCUGCUCUUGUAGCCACUUUCUAGUACACGAUACAGCGUUGGUCACUGGAGUCACCAUGCUGUAUCAGAUGCCCUGAACCUCACUUUCUUUUUGAGGUGAUGAAAAUGUUCUGGAAUAAUGGUGAUGGUUGCAUAAUUUUGUGAAUAGACUAUGAAUAACUGAGUUGUAUACUUUUAAAAGAGUAAAUUUAUAGUAUGUGAAUUAUAUCUCAAUUUCUAAGAUUGUAUGGAUAAAUAAAUAAAGCAUUUUGAAAAAAAGAGUUAAUAAGAGAAACCCUAUUAUUCUGAGUCCUUUAUUUGGCUCCCACACUGCUAGCCUCUGGAGACGAGCCAAGACCACCCAACUCAGAAGGAGCACUGUUUCUCAGAGCUAGCUCUAAAGCUGCCACCACUCAGAGUUUCCAGAGACUCAAAGGCAGGUGGAGUUGGCAAGCUUUCUUGCGGAAAAAAAGAAGAUGCAGUCCUGAUCAGAGCUUGUGAGGGGGGAAGCUGGAGGCCGGGCAGCUAGACCUGGGCCAUCUUAUGUGAUUACUUAGGGGAACAUGUUCGUCGUUCCCUACUUGUUCCUAAAUUAGAAGUGGGAUUAAAAAUGAGGGAAACUGUCAGUCAUUGACCAAAUCUUCCCCUUUGGGGCGGAGUGCUGUGAGGGCUGUGGUCUGGUUUUCUGGUUGCCGAAGGCUGUGGGUCAGGGCCCACUCCUCUCCCAGGUUAGAGCAAGAAGUCCCCGGCUCUCAGGCCGACUUAGCAAAUUCCGCACACUGAACCCCUCUUUCAUCUUCUUCAAUCAGAUAGUCUUUGUGGAUAGAGAAAUUUUAUUCA
Molecule: non-coding RNA, 6540 nt
Organism: Equus caballus (horse)
Lineage: Eukaryota; Metazoa; Chordata; Mammalia; Perissodactyla; Equidae
Source: RefSeq, a predicted model, not a curated record